This 255-nucleotide long non-coding RNA is filed under the name Bos taurus (domestic cattle). RNAcentral describes it as "long non-coding RNA NONBTAT001715". Lineage: Eukaryota; Metazoa; Chordata; Mammalia; Artiodactyla; Bovidae. The record is from RNAcentral.
GUUAUCAGCACACAUUACAUUUUCAGUGCUUUUACAAAGAAAAAAGGUGAUCUGUUUCAUUAAACAUUGAAUUGGCUAAUUCUUGCUCUAAUGUGGCUUUAAUGUCGGGAGUCACUCCUAGCUUUAAUUGACAGUUGUUAAUAUAAAAGUGAAAGUGUAACGGUGCCAUAUGUUUUAUUCCAGUGGGUGUGAUGCACUGAGAAGUGAGUUUCUUUGGGAUUUAAUGAGUAUUAAAUAGUGCAUUUUCUGUACACU